This is a long non-coding RNA of Gavialis gangeticus (Gharial), 184 nucleotides long. RefSeq lists it as uncharacterized. The record is from RefSeq and is a predicted model, not a curated record. The transcript is spliced from 2 exons. NCBI's taxonomy places the organism in Eukaryota, Metazoa, Chordata, Crocodylia, Gavialidae.
AGGGAUAUGGAAACUGGAAAACCAACACAUUGAUGGCAAGAAACAAUGAAAAAUGAUUUGCAGAACCAGAAAGUGCUGCAGCUCCAUCAGCCACACUCUGUACCUGUACGUGACUUACGGCCGAUGGACACUGCUGCCAUGGGACAUAUUUGCACAUUCCUGGGAUAAUAAACUAGCAUAACUG